RNAcentral lists this long non-coding RNA (1180 nucleotides) under Homo sapiens (human). RNAcentral's name for it is "HSALNT0161171". The record is from RNAcentral. Lineage: Eukaryota; Metazoa; Chordata; Mammalia; Primates; Hominidae.
UGUACUUGGCACAGCCUUGCUUCUAGAAGUUUCCUCUAGUAAAUUCAUUUCAUGGAUGCUGAGAGAACCAUCGCCUGUUAUUGACUCUUGCUUCUCAGAAACCUACAGUUCUCCUCGUAAUGGAGCAGUCUUCACAGCACUGUUCGUGUGACCCUCCUAUGACAGUCAUGGCAGGAAAGGAAAGCAGAAAGCUUCUGCAGUACUCAGCUGGGUCAAGGUAGAACUUCAAAGACCAAGCAGAAAGCUUCUGCAGUACUCAGCUGGGUCAAGGUAGAACUUCAAAGACCAAGCAGAAAGCUUCUGCAGUACUCAGCUGGGUCAAGGUAGAACUUCAAAGACCAAGCAGAAAGCUUCUGCAGUACUCAGCUGGGUCAAAGACCAGCUGCACUGGAGAAGAUGGCCCUGUUCACCCUGUGGAACAGCCUGGAGGUCAUGGCUACAAACCUACCUUCUCGUAGCAGAGACAUGACACUAGGUCAGACGGCUAGUUCUGCGAGAAAUAAAAAUGACAGUUGGACAUUUGGUAUCCUAUAGAACGAGUAUCUGUUUACUGAAUUUUUACGCUAUCAUCUGGUGGUUUUGGCAUUACUGGGAUGCAAUUUUAGUUUUUUUGUGUGCAGAGAAUAGCCACUUGUUUGGGUUUCUGAGGUCAUUUCUCACAUUUCUGCUCCAGAAAUGAGUGCAUUCCAUAAAUAUAUUUUUACUGCAAAGUCUAAUUUGCUUGCUUUCUUAAUGUGAGCCCAUCUCCUUUCUAAAAUCCUGGUUUUCUCAAAAAUGCUAGUUAGUUGCUGUCUUCUUACUAAUGUUGACAACAUCUUAUCAUCAAAUACUUACUUUGUAUUCUGUCCAGCCCUGUCCCUGGCAUAUAAUAAAUAUUUUAGAGGCUCUUUCUACUGCAGUUUCUUCCAAAAUUCCAUUUAUUUGAGGUUGAUGAGCUUCCUUUUUCUUUUUGUUUUUUGGUUUGUUUGUUUUUUGUAGAGACAUGGUCUCGCUUUGUCACCCAGGCUGGAGUGCAGUGGUGUGAUCAUAGCUCACUGUAGCCUCAAACUCCUGGGCACAAGCGACCCUCCAGCCUCAGCCUCCCAAGUAGCUGGGACUACAGGUCCACUGCCACACCCAGAUAAUCUUUAAAAUUUUUUUAGAGAUGGAGUCUUGUUAUGUUGCCCAGGCUAGUCUUGAA